Molecule: long non-coding RNA, 205 nt
Filed under: Gallus gallus (chicken)
Lineage: Eukaryota; Metazoa; Chordata; Aves; Galliformes; Phasianidae
Source: RNAcentral
UCAAAGCCAUUGAAAUGAACACUCUUGCAGUAGACAACCGUGUCCGACAGCUCUUUGGCCAGCUUGAGGGUGUCACUCUUCCCCUUCUGCUGUACCUCUGUCUUCACAGAUUCAUCUUCCAUUUCAGCUGCUUCAUCUUCAUCAGAGACAUCCUCAGCCUCCAGGUUGUUGUUCCCAUUUGUCCCAGUGGGGUCUUCCUGUCUGC